This 64-nucleotide transfer RNA is filed under the name Ctenochauliodes nigrovenosus. RNAcentral describes it as "tRNA-His". Lineage: Eukaryota; Metazoa; Arthropoda; Insecta; Megaloptera; Corydalidae. The record is from RNAcentral.
AUUUAAAUAGUUUAAGAAAAAAUUUUGAUUUGUGGUAUCAAAGAUGUAGGUAAUACUUUAGAUU